This 609-nucleotide ribosomal RNA is filed under the name uncultured bacterium. RNAcentral's name for it is "bacterial SSU rRNA". The stretch from base 1 to 536 matches the Rfam family "Bacterial small subunit ribosomal RNA", at positions 338 to 873 of the family's 1533-position model. The record is from RNAcentral.
CCUACGGGAGGCAGCAGUAGGGAAUAUUGGGCAAUGGAGGCAACUCUGACCCAGCCAUGCCGCGUGCAGGAAGACGGUCCUCUGGAUUGUAAACUGCUUUUGAAUGGGAAGAAUGUGCUCCUUGCGAGGGGUAAUGACGGUACCAUUAGAAUAAGCCACGGCUAACUACGUGCCAGCAGCCGCGGUAAUACGUAGGUGGCGAGCGUUAUCCGGAUUUAUUGGGUUUAAAGGGUGCGUAGGCGGCUUAAUAAGUCGGUGGUUAAAAGUAGCAGCUUAACUGUUUUACAUGCCAUCGAUACUGUUGAGCUUGAGAUAUUUGGAGGCAGCUAGAAUUUCCGGUGUAGCGGUGAAAUGCAUAGAUACCGGAAGGAAUACCAAUUGCGAAGGCAGGUUGCUACGAAUAAACUGACGCUGAUGCACGAAAGCGUGGGGAUCAAACAGGAUUAGAUACCCUGGUAGUCCACGCCGUAAACGAUGAUUACUAGUUGUUGGGGUUUAAGCCUCAGUGACCAAGGGAAACCGAUAAGUAAUCCACCGACGGAGUACGCGCGACGAGAACGACAANAGAGUAGACGCGUGAGACGUGCGACGACGACGACGAGGGAGAGG